GGAGGUGUGGCUCAGUGGUAAGGAGCACCCACUUAGGAAGUGUGUGGGGCCUCGAGUUCAAACCCAAGCACCACCA
RNAcentral lists this transfer RNA (76 nucleotides) under Dipodomys ordii (Ord's kangaroo rat). It matches the Rfam family "tRNA". From Rfam's summary of the family: Transfer RNA (tRNA) molecules are approximately 80 nucleotides in length. Their secondary structure includes four short double-helical elements and three loops (D, anti-codon, and T loops). The record is from Rfam by way of RNAcentral. Lineage: Eukaryota; Metazoa; Chordata; Mammalia; Rodentia; Heteromyidae.